GUCACGACCACGCAGCGCGUGCUCAUCCUGAGACUCAACCGAGACGUUGACUGUGAGUGCCGUUCGUUGAGUGAGCUGACGAAUUUGGGAGAGAGCCUCGUGAGUUGUUGAGAGAGAGAGAGGAGCUGCUUCAACCAUGUAAGCCCUCUGUUAGACUCCGACUGGUUUUUUUUUGGACUUCAGAUUAGGAACGGGUUCAGAUUUCCGAACCUUUGGUUGGUGGCGAGCCAGGACCCUGAUUAAGAGGAGCGGAGCGCGGUGU
Molecule: long non-coding RNA, 262 nt
Organism: Eleginops maclovinus (Patagonian blennie)
Lineage: Eukaryota; Metazoa; Chordata; Actinopteri; Perciformes; Eleginopidae
Exons: 3
Source: RefSeq, a predicted model, not a curated record